CGAGUUGGCCGGGUAACCGCUGCUUUAUUGAUGUCCCACGGGAGACUGAUGAAGGGGAGGAAAGUCCGGGCUCCGCAGGGCAGGGUGCCAGGUAACGCCUGGGAGGCGCGAGCCUACGACCAGUGCAGCAGAGAGUAGACCGCCGAUGGCUUUUCGGAGCACAGGUAAGGGUGAAAGGGUGCGGUAAGAGCGCACCGCGCGACUGGCAACAGUUCGUGGCACGGUAAACUCCACCCGGAGCAAGACCAAAUAGGUCCCUAUUGGCGCGGCCCGCGUUUGGGGACGGGUAGGUUGCUGGAGCCUGUGAGCAAUUGCAGGCCUAGACGAAUGGUUACCACCGUUUUUACGGUACAGAACCCGGCUUACAGGCCAACUCACCUC
Molecule: non-coding RNA, 381 nt
Organism: Salinivibrio sp. KP-1
Lineage: Bacteria; Pseudomonadati; Pseudomonadota; Gammaproteobacteria; Vibrionales; Vibrionaceae
Rfam family: Bacterial RNase P class A
About the family: Ribonuclease P (RNase P) is a ubiquitous endoribonuclease, found in archaea, bacteria and eukarya as well as chloroplasts and mitochondria.
Source: Rfam